AUCUUUCUAGUAUCUAACAUUAGUACAAGUGACUUCCAAUCACUCAGUCUUGGUUAAAACCCAAGGAAAGAUA
Molecule: transfer RNA, 73 nt
Filed under: Acestrorhynchus sp. NM-2010
Lineage: Eukaryota; Metazoa; Chordata; Actinopteri; Characiformes; Acestrorhynchidae
Description: tRNA-Gly
Rfam family: tRNA
About the family: Transfer RNA (tRNA) molecules are approximately 80 nucleotides in length.
Source: RNAcentral